UUUUGACCUAAACGGCCUAAGGCCCUAAGCCGCUAAACGAAGACAUCGAUCCAUCCCCAAUUCACUAACGUCUGUUCUAAGCUCUCUUCUCUACUCUCCACUCUCCACUCUCCAGUUCUUCUUCUGUUCUUCAUCUAAAUCCCCGAUCCCCAAUUUCUUUCCAAUUUCCCUUCAUACAGCAAGCAUGAUGAGCCUCAACCUUACUUUAUUGUGAGAAUUUGAUUUUCAGCUUAAGCUUGUUCAAGCAUCAUCCAAGACUCUAACUCUCUUAGUCAAUUAUUUGAUUCAAAUUGUUUGAUGGCUAGAGCGAAGAAGGAAGUUGCUCGGCCUCAUCCAACCGCUUCGGGGCUUGAAGACUGCACUUGUUUCCUGUCAUAAUCUGCAUUACUGCAAUUUGAAUUCAUAAUCUACAAUCUGCUAUUUGUAGUUUUGCACAUAUUGUAUUAUUUUCCAUCUUCACUAGUUCAUUUCUUCUUUUCAAGAAGUCUUCAAUUCAUUUUAGUAUUUUACAUUGUUUGA
This is a long non-coding RNA of Rosa rugosa (rugosa rose), 519 nucleotides long. RefSeq lists it as uncharacterized. Lineage: Eukaryota; Viridiplantae; Streptophyta; Magnoliopsida; Rosales; Rosaceae. The transcript is spliced from 2 exons. The record is from RefSeq and is a predicted model, not a curated record.